Molecule: long non-coding RNA, 322 nt
Filed under: Homo sapiens (human)
Lineage: Eukaryota; Metazoa; Chordata; Mammalia; Primates; Hominidae
Description: non-protein coding lnc-ZC3H12D-10:1
Source: RNAcentral
GGAAUAGGGAGAGCCAGCAGGAAACUGGCUGCCUGGCAAAACCCAUGGUGACCAUCAGUAGAAAUGGAGAUGUGAUCACUAUAAAAAUGAAAAGCAUCUUUAAAAAUAAUGAGAUUGCUUUUAAACCUAGAAAAGUGUGAGGAAACCACACCAGGUGGCCAUAAAAUCAAGAGUACCAUAACCUUAGAUAAUGACUCCCUGAUUCAGGUUCAGGACUGGGAUCACAAGGAGACCUCAUUGGGAGAAAGUUGGUGGGUGAGAAGAUGGGGGUGGAAAGUGCCGUGAGCAAUAUUACCUGUGCUCAGAUAUAGGGGAGAGAAUG